UACGGGAGGCAGCAGUAGGGAAUAUUGCGCAAUGGGGGCAACCCUGACGCAGCAACGCCGCGUGAAGGACGAAGGUCUUCGGAUUGUAAACUUCUUUUGUCAGGGACGAAAUAUGACGGUACCUGACGAAUAAGCUCCGGCUAACUACGUGCCAGCAGCCGCGGUAAU
This 168-nucleotide ribosomal RNA is filed under the name uncultured rumen bacterium. RNAcentral's name for it is "partial 16S ribosomal RNA". It matches the Rfam family "Bacterial small subunit ribosomal RNA", at positions 340 to 524 of the family's 1533-position model. The record is from RNAcentral.